UGGGGAAUCUUGCACAAUGGGCGAAAGCCUGAUGCAGCAACGCCGCGUGCGGGAAGACAGCCCUAGGGUUGUAAACCGCUUUCAGCAGGGAAGAAACUGACGGUACCUGCAGAAGAAGAUGCGGCCAACUACGUGCCAGCAGCCGCGGUGACACGUAGGCAUCAAGCGUUAUCCGGAUUUAUUGGGCGUAAAGAGCUCGUAGGCGGUUCGGUAAGUCGGGUGUGAAAACUCUGGGCUCAACCCAGAGAGGCCACUCGAUACUGCUGUGACUAGAGUGCGGUAGGGGAGCGGGGAAUUCCUGGUGUAGCGGUGAAAUGCGCAGAUAUCAGGAGGAACACCAGUGGCGAAGGCGCUGCUCUGGGCUGUAACUGACGCUGAGGAGCGAAAGCAUGGGUAGCAAACAGGAUUAGAUACCCUGGUAGUCCAUGCCGU
RNAcentral lists this ribosomal RNA (432 nucleotides) under uncultured bacterium. RNAcentral's name for it is "bacterial SSU rRNA". It matches the Rfam family "Bacterial small subunit ribosomal RNA", at positions 355 to 803 of the family's 1533-position model. The record is from RNAcentral.